AGAGAGAGACAUGCGCGCAUAUCAAUAAGCGGAGGAAAAGAAACUAACUAGGAUUCCCUCAGUAACGGCGAGUGAAGCGGGAAGAGCUCAAAUUUGAAAUCUUCAAGGUUUUACCUUGACGAAUUGUAGUUUAAAGAAGUGUUUUCUGUUAGGAGUUAGGUAAAAGUUCUUUGGAAUAGGACAUCAUAGAGGGUGAGAAUCCCGUAUUUGACCAUUAUUUUCAGCUGUGUGAUACACUUUCAAAGAGUCGGAUUGUUUGGGAAUGCAGUCCAAAAUGGGUGGUAAAUUUCAUCUAAAGCUAAAUAUUGGCGAGAGACCGAUAGCGAACAAGUACCGUGAGGGAAAGAUGAAAAGAACUUUGAAAAGAGAGUUAAACAGUACGUGAAAUUGUCAAAAGGGAAGCGUUUGACACCAGUGUUGUUUUCUCGAAAAUCAAUUAAAAAUGGCGGAUUUUGUGUUGUAUUGACCUUUAUCAAGCUUUCUACACUUUUCUCCUGUCUUUUUUAAUGCACUUUUCGUUUAACAAGUCAACAUCAGUUUCUUUUGUUGUAAAAGGGUCAUUGGAAGGUGGCUUUCUUUUCGGAGAAAGUGUUUAUAGCCUUUGCUCUCUGCAAUCGGAGAGAUUGAGGUCUGCAGCGUAGACUCCUUCGGGGUUAGAUACAUUUGUGCUAAGCUAUAGCCUUUUCAUAGACAACUUGUUGACUAUGAUCAGUCAUGUAGCUUACUCGCUUAUGUCUAUUUUACCUACGCUUAGGAUGUUGACAGCAGUAUAGACUGUU
Molecule: ribosomal RNA, 779 nt
Filed under: uncultured Neocallimastigales
Lineage: Eukaryota; Fungi; Neocallimastigomycota; Neocallimastigomycetes; Neocallimastigales
Description: partial large subunit ribosomal RNA
Rfam family: Eukaryotic large subunit ribosomal RNA
Source: RNAcentral